GGAAUUUUGGACAAUGGGCGCAAGCCUGAUCCAGCAAUGCCGCGUGAGUGAAGAAGGCCUUCGGGUUGUAAAGCUCUUUUGUCAGGGAAGAAACGGUGGACUCUAAUACAGAUCACUAAUGACGGUACCUGAAGAAUAAGCACCGGCUAACUACGUGCCAGCAGCCGCGGUAAUACGUAGGGUGCAAGCGUUAAUCGGAAUUACUGGGCGUAAAGCGUGCGCAGGCGGUUUGGUAAGACAGAUGUGAAAUCCCUGGGCUCAACCUAGGAAUUGCAUUUGUGACUGCCCGGCUAGAGUGUGUCAGAGGGGGGUAGAAUUCCACGUGUAGCAGUGAAAUGCGUAGAGAUGUGGAGGAAUACCGAUGGCGAAGGCAGCCCCCUGGGAUAACACUGACGCUCAUGCACGAAAGCGUGGGGAGCAAACAGGAUUAGAUACCCCUG
RNAcentral lists this ribosomal RNA (440 nucleotides) under uncultured Herminiimonas sp. RNAcentral's name for it is "bacterial SSU rRNA". It matches the Rfam family "Bacterial small subunit ribosomal RNA", at positions 358 to 789 of the family's 1533-position model. Lineage: Bacteria; Pseudomonadati; Pseudomonadota; Betaproteobacteria; Burkholderiales; Oxalobacteraceae. The record is from RNAcentral.